GACACUACGCAGGUCCAGUUUGGAGAAGAAGUGAGCGCCCUGCAGCUGUUCCAGUGCAGAUGGGACCAGGGAAAGUGGAUAACGGUACUUUUCACAGCUUGGGAAAGGGCUCUGUAAUCGAUACACCUCGGCUUGUCCAAAUACCUCCUUGAUAUGGUUUAUGAAAGCAUCCAGAAAUUGUGUGACCAUGGCAUCGGAUUCCCACAGCAUUGUCGCCCACUGCAGAGCCCUACCGGACAAGAGAGAUAUAAUAUAGGCAAUUUUAGAUCAUUCAGAUGGGAACUGGUGAGGCUGCAUCUAAAAAUACAGCGAGCAUUACAAGAUUAACCCACUGCAAUCCUCCGCCAUGCCAGAGAACGUUGCUGGUUGGGCCAUAGGAUGCAACGAUGAAGCCGAUGAGGAAGUAGCGGGUUGCAGCAAUUGAUGAAGAAGGUAUACCACUUUGGCAAGGGGUUCAGUUUUGGGGUUAGGAGUGGCACCGCUCUCCAUGUUAAACUUGCAGUCUGGUCUUUUGUCACACACACACAGAAGAGAAGACUCACAGAACCAUUCAAGAUGUUCAUUGACAACUGGAAACUGCUGAGUAACUUAAAUUGGAAACAGUUAGUGUGCUUAUCUCUUGCAUGUUGGUGCUGGAAGCGGUCAAUAGAGAAAGAAGACAGAUGUGAUGAUAUUCCACAAAGGAUAACAGAAAAUGCAGAAUUAUCAACACUUGAGAGCAAUAUCUGUGUAGUUCCAGCUCCAGCUCCUCUCCCUACAUCCAGUCUUUCUCACUGCACUCUAAUUCAUCAGAAUUGUCUCUGGAACUCAGCCAAGUCCUUCGGGUAAUCCUCUCUGCAAGCUUUACUACACAUCAUUUUUUAUCUGUAUUUUAGUUUUUCAGUAGAAGUGCAGGGAAAGAUCGAAAAAUAAUGUGUGGAAAAUUGCUAUACACGGGGGAAGGAGUGCUGAGAUUGCAGUUGACGUUAAUGUUUCCAAUAGGCUCUGGGACGUAUGACCAUUAUUAAGGGUAAUAAAUGAUGUAGUUUUUGGUGGAUUGCAGCUUUAUUUCAGCGAAAUUGGCUUGAAGCUUGAAAAACAGAACUGCCAAAAAAUGUGUGUUUGGCAUAAUGGACUUAUCCCUGAUGGGGCUUUAAUGUUUCUGUAUUUUAUUUAUUGAGAAAUUCAAAGGCAAAUCUUCAUUAUACUCUCAGCACUUAUCAAGUAUGCUACAUUGCUGAUUGAUGAACACUUGCCUAAAUAUGCCCCCAUCAAAUUGAAAAAGGUUAGAGAAAAACGUACUGUGCCAUGGUACAACAGUAAUACCCACGCUCUCAAGAAAGAAACUCGUAGUCUUGAGCACAAAUGGAGAAAAACGAACUUGGAAGUUUUUAGAAUCGCGUGGAAAAACAGUAUGUCCAGCUAUAGACAGGCUCUAAAAACUGCCAGGGCCGAGCAUAUCCACAAACUCAUAGAAAACAACCAAAACAAUCCAAGGUCUUUAUUUAGCACAGUGGCUAGAUUAACAAAUAACCAGCCACCACCCGAUCUAAAUAUUCCCUCACAGUUUAAUAGUAAUGACUUUAUGAAUUUCUUCACUGAUAAAAUAGAGAACAUCAGAAAUACAAUAACAAAUGUAGAUUCUACAGCGUCUAAUACUUUAGUUUUAUCCAUCGCACCCAAAGAUAAACUGCAGUGCUUUACAGGAAGAGCUAAAUAAACUUAUCACUGCAUCUAAACCAACAACAUGUUUAUUAGAUCCUGUACCCACUAAAUUACUGAAAGAGUUGUUACCUGUAGCAGAAAAACCGCUUCUCAAUAUUAUUAACUUGUCGUUAUCUUUAGGUCACGUCCCAAAACCAUUCAAGCUGGCGGUUAUUAAGCCUCUUAUUAAGAAACCACAACUAGAUCCUAGUGAACUGGCAAAUUACAGACCCAUUUCAAAUCUUCCAUUUAUGUCUUAAAAUUUUUGAAAAAGUUGUGUCUGCUAAAUUGUGCUCCUACCUGCCAAAAAAUGUCUCUAUGAAGAAUUUCAGUCAGGUUUCAGGCCCCAUCAUAGCACAGAAACUGCACUUGUUAAAAUUACAAAUGACUUGCUUCUUGCAUCAGACCAAGGCUGCAUCUCAUUGCUAGUUUUACUUGAUCUUAGUGCUGCGUUCGACACCAUAGAUCACGACAUACUCAUAGAUAGAUUACAAAACUAUACAGGUAUCCAAGGGCAGGCUUUAAGAUGGUUUAGAUCAUACCUGUCCGAUCGCUACCACUUUGUUUAUCUAAAUGGGGAGUCAUCUCAUUUAUCACCAGUAAAAUAUGGAGUGCCACAAGGAUCUGUCCUAGGUCCUCUGCUAUUUUCAAUAUACAUGUUGCCCCUUGGUAAUAUCAUUAGAAAAUACGGGAUUAGUUUCCACUGUUAUGCUGAUGAUACUCAACUGAGUUUAUAUCUCAACAAGACCAGGUGAAAUGUCAAAAUUAUCUAAGCUAACAGAGUGUGUUAAAAAUGUAAAAGAUUGGAUGACCAAUAAUUUUCUCCUAUUAAAUUAAGACAGAGAUAUUACUUAUUGGACCAAAAAACAUUACACAGAAUCUCGUAGAUUACAAUUUGCAACUAGACGGAUGUACUGUUACUUCCUCUACUGUCAAAAAUCUGGGUGUUAUAUUAGACAGCAACUUGUCUUUUGAAAAUCAUAUUUCCCAUGUUACAAAAACAGCAUUCUUCCAUCUUAGAAACAUUGCCAAGCUACGAAACAUGUUACCUGUUUCUGAUGCAGAAAAGCUAGUUCAUGCGUUCAUGACCUCUAGACUGGACUAUUGUAAUGCACUGCUAGGUGGUUGUCCUGCAUCCUCAAUAAAC
This is a long non-coding RNA of Cyprinus carpio carpio, 2830 nucleotides long. The record is from Ensembl. NCBI's taxonomy places the organism in Eukaryota, Metazoa, Chordata, Actinopteri, Cypriniformes, Cyprinidae.